UACGUAGGGUGCAAGCGUUGUCCGGAAUUAUUGGGCGUAAAGAGCUCGUAGGCGGUGUGUCGCGUCGGCCGUGAAAACCUGGGGCUCAACUCUGGGCGUGCGGUCGAUACGGGCAUCACUUGAGUUCGGCAGGGGAGACUGGAACUCCUGGUGUAGCGGUGAAAUGCGCAGAUAUCAGGAGGAACACCUAUAGCGAAGGCAGCUUACUGGGCUGUAACUGACGCUGAGGCACGAAAGUGUGGGGAUCAAACAGG
RNAcentral lists this ribosomal RNA (254 nucleotides) under uncultured bacterium. RNAcentral's name for it is "partial 16S ribosomal RNA". It matches the Rfam family "Bacterial small subunit ribosomal RNA", at positions 524 to 776 of the family's 1533-position model. The record is from RNAcentral.